RNAcentral lists this small RNA (126 nucleotides) under Marmota monax (woodchuck). The record is from RNAcentral. Lineage: Eukaryota; Metazoa; Chordata; Mammalia; Rodentia; Sciuridae.
GCCGGGCGCGGUGAUGCGCUCUUGUAACCCCAAAAGCUUGGGAGGCUGAGACAGGAGGAUUGCGAAUUCAAAGCCAGCCUCAGCAAAAAACAAGGCGCUAAGCAUCUCAGUGAGACCCUGUCUCUA